RNAcentral lists this ribosomal RNA (496 nucleotides) under uncultured bacterium. RNAcentral describes it as "partial 16S ribosomal RNA". It matches the Rfam family "Bacterial small subunit ribosomal RNA", at positions 28 to 507 of the family's 1533-position model. The record is from RNAcentral.
GACGAACGCUGGCGGCGUGCCUAAUACAUGCAAGUAGAACGCUGACGAGAGGAGCUUACUCUUCUGGAUGAGUUGCGAACGGGUGAGUAACGCGUAGGUAACCUCCCUCGGAGCGGGGGAGAACUAUUGGAAACGAUAGCUAAUACCGCACAACAAUGGACGACACAUGUCAUGUAUUUGAAAGGGGCAAUUGCUCCACUACAAGAUGGACCUGCGUUGUCUUAGCUAGUAGGUGAGGUAAUGGCUCAACUAGGCUACGAUACAUGGCCGACCUGAGAGGGAGAUCGACCACAAUGGGACUGAGACACGGCCCAAGCUCCUGCGGGAAGCAGCAGUAGGGAAGCAUCGGAAAUGGGGGCAACCCUGAACGAGCAACGCCGCGGGAGUGGAGAAGGUUUUCGGAUCGUAAAGGUACGUUGUAAGUCAAGAAAGGGUGUGAGAGUGGAAAGUUCACACUGUGACGGUAGCUUACGAGAAAGGGACGGCUAACUACGUG